This is a non-coding RNA of Caenorhabditis elegans, 21 nucleotides long. The record is from Ensembl. Lineage: Eukaryota; Metazoa; Nematoda; Chromadorea; Rhabditida; Rhabditidae.
UGUUAUGUCGAUAGGCUUUUU